RNAcentral lists this unclassified non-coding RNA (2382 nucleotides) under Leishmania donovani. Its description in RNAcentral is "gene:unknown". The stretch from base 317 to 382 matches the Rfam family "Trypanosomatid snoRNA TB9Cs4H1". Lineage: Eukaryota; Euglenozoa; Kinetoplastea; Trypanosomatida; Trypanosomatidae. The record is from RNAcentral.
ACCGAGAGACGCCACCGCCGCGCACCACGCGCAGUCCCAUUUCGCUCGUCCCGCUCCGCACCGUUGAGCUGCCGUCGAUGAACAAUGGGCCGAGACCUGCGCGCGCCCCGCUAGACACCCUGCCCCCGUCCCCUCGUGCGCGCCGCCGCACACAUGAUGAGACUCUUUUUUUUUCGCUGCCGCUGAGCGCCCCGUGCGUGGGGCGGCACGUGAUGCACACAUGGAUACACUACACUGUAGAACUGUCGUUUCUCUGACGGCGCUGCGGCCCCCUGUCCCCUGUCUCCUUCCCCCACCCCCGCGCGCGCCGCGUCAUCGAGGUCUUCGUGUACCCCGUGCGCCCCCACUCGUGGCACACACAUGGGGAAUGGUCAAGACCGAGAGACGCCACCGCCGCGCACCACGCGCAGUCCCAUUUCGCUCGUCCCGCUCCGCACCGUUGAGCUGCCGUCGAUGAACAAUGGGCCGAGACCUGCGCGCGCCCCGCUAGACACCCUGCCCCCGUCCCCUCGUGCGCGCCGCCGCACACAUGAUGAGACUCUUUUUUUUUUCGCUGCCGCUGAGCGCCCCGUGCGUGGGGCGGCACGUGAUGCACACAUGGAUACACUACACUGUAGAACUGUCGUUUCUCUGACGGCGCUGCGGCCCCCUGUCCCCUGUCUCCUUCCCCCACCCCGCGCGCGCCGCGUCAUCGAGGUCUUCGUGUACCCCGUGCGCCCCCACUCGUGGCACACACAUGGGGAAUGGUCAAGACCGAGAGACGCCACCGCCGCGCACCACGCGCAGUCCCAUUUCGCUCGUCCCGCUCCGCACCGUUGAGCUGCCGUCGAUGAACAAUGGGCCGAGACCUGCGCGCGCCCCGCUAGACACCCUGCCCCCGUCCCCUCGUGCGCGCCGCCGCACACAUGAUGAGACUCUUUUUUUUUCGCUGCCGCUGAGCGCCCCGUGCGUGGGGCGGCACGUGAUGCACACAUGGAUACACUACACUGUAGAACUGUCGUUUCUCUGACGGCGCUGCGGCCCCCUGUCCCCUGUCUCCUUCCCCCACCCCCGCGCGCGCCGCGUCAUCGAGGUCUUCGUGUACCCCGUGCGCCCCCACUCGUGGCACACACAUGGGGAAUGGUCAAGACCGAGAGACGCCACCGCCGCGCACCACGCGCAGUCCCAUUUCGCUCGUCCCGCUCCGCACCGUUGAGCUGCCGUCGAUGAACAAUGGGCCGAGACCUGCGCGCGCCCCGCUAGACACCCUGCCCCCGUCCCCUCGUGCGCGCCGCCGCACACAUGAUGAGACUCUUUUUUUUUUCGCUGCCGCUGAGCGCCCCGUGCGUGGGGCGGCACGUGAUGCACACAUGAAUACACUACACUGUAGAACUGUCGUUUCUCUGACGGCGCUGCGGCCCCCUGUCCCCUGUCUCCUUCCCCCACCCCCGCGCGCGCCGCGUCAUCGAGGUCUUCGUGUACCCCGUGCGCCCCCACUCGUGGCACACACAUGGGGAAUGGUCAAGACCGAGAGACGCCACCGCCGCGCACCACGCGCAGUCCCAUUUCGCUCGUCCCGCUCCGCACCGUUGAGCUGCCGUCGAUGAACAAUGGGCCGAGACCUGCGCGCGCCCCGCUAGACACCCUGCCCCCGUCCCCUCGUGCGCGCCGCCGCACACAUGAUGAGACUCUUUUUUUUUUCGCUGCCGCUGAGCGCCCCGUGCGUGGGGCGGCACGUGAUGCACACAUGGAUACACUACACUGUAGAACUGUCGUUUCUCUGACGGCGCUGCGGCCCCCUGUCCCCUGUCUCCUUCCCCCACCCCCGCGCGCGCCGCGUCAUCGAGGUCUUCGUGUACCCCGUGCGCCCCCACUCGUGACUGAAGCAGCUGAGGCGCUGGCGUUCUCUGGCGUGUGUUGGGGAAAUAGGUGUGCGAACUGUUUUGGCUUCUACAUCGUUCCCAAGGCGAGAGAUGAUGAUUCAUCAGCGAUGGUGGUGAGCUCAGAGGCGCGGGUACCUGCUUCGAUACGGCAAUGGUGGACGGGUCGGGAAAAAGGCAGAGGCGUGAGUUUUGAUGUUGCCGCAUGCCGAUGUAGAGACGUUACAUUAACGGUCGUGCUUUGCGCCACGGGUUCUCCGUUACAAGUCUUUUUUUGUUGUCCUCCUGCACGCAUGGCGGAUUCAUUCAAAGGAGGGACAGCGGAUAAGGGGAAGAUAUCGUGCGCAUGUGUGGACGAAAACCCAAAGAUAUGUGUGGGAGGUUUGCUUAUUCUUUACCGACGAAGAGAACCUCUGCGUUUUUGCAUGCCUUUCUCGGCUGCAUAACUCCUGGCAUGUCAGUUGACCUGUAGAUGCAUGCAGAGACACUAGCACGCCCGCGAACUGCGGAAAAGACACGUGAG